Megalobrama amblycephala (Wuchang bream) is the source of this 1189-nucleotide non-coding RNA. NCBI's taxonomy places the organism in Eukaryota, Metazoa, Chordata, Actinopteri, Cypriniformes, Xenocyprididae. The record is from the annotation of a RefSeq genome assembly.
GCAUCAAAGUGAUCUUACCUGCAUUCUGCCAGAAGAUGGAGCUCUAGGAACCAUUCUAGUUCAGUCUCAGUUCAGUUGUUUAAAACAGAGACAGACUUACAUUGAGUCACUUAUACUCUAGUAGAGAACUGUGAGUCUUGAGUCUCAAAGUCAUUGACUCUUACUAGUGCAGAUGUUGCUCCUGGUAUUCAUUUUAUUUUCUCUGCUAAAAGAGAAUGCUGCUGCAGACGUGAUAACACCAUUAUUCACAGACAAGCAUGUUUUGGAAGGAAAAGAUAUAACACUGAUCUGCAAUUACACUGUCAGUGUUCAAAAUUUGCAGUGGUACCGUCAGUAUCCCGGAUCCAAACCUGAACACCUAAUAUUGUUCUUUGAGACCGACUCCAAACCAAAGUCCUCUCUCCGUCUGACCGUUGCAGCUGAUAAAGCCAACAAACAAAUGAAUCUGACGAUCUCUUCUACAGAAGUGAAAGACUCUGCCAUGUACUACUGUGCCCUGCAGCCCACAGUGACAGGAAACACUACUGCACCCUACAAAAACUCAAUGAGAAAUUAUAUUCAAGGCAGAGGAUCAUGAUGCACAAUGCUGAUUUAAAAACAGUGGCACUGUACAACUAUCAAAUGUUUCAAGCAUUAAUGUGCUGUUCAUUAUUAUUAUGAGGUAGUCUAAUCUUAUUAAUAGUUAAUAUUAGGGCACACUAUAAGUUGUAAAUGCUUUUAAAACUUAUUCCAACAUGUAGCAACUGUGUGUCGACUUAAACUGGGUGAGCAACAGACUCGCUCACCCAGUUUAAAUCUAGAUUAAAGACUCAUCUCUUUAGCCAAGCAUUCACAUAAUGCAUCUCUUAUUUGCUAACUGCAUUCUUUAAAUUGUAAUGUUGCCAUGCAUUCUCUGUAAAGCUGCAUUGAAACAAUAUGUAUUGUGAAAAGCGCUAUACAAAUAUGUGAAUUGAAUUAAUAAAGAGUGUAAUAUUAGAUGAAUCAGACUGACAUAAUGGCUUUAGGUUUUAGGUUGUUGACUACAGCUUCUUCUUCAUACAGUCAGUGUUUGUAGGGUAAGAUGAGCAAGAAGGUACAGUAAGUGUGGGAGGAGCUCAAUGUUUUGUCGACUCCUGCAGAAUAAAUCAAAUAGACAACACUGACUUCCCUUCAUACUGAUGAAACUGAUAGAAUCUGAACUCAAACUACA